Molecule: ribosomal RNA, 253 nt
Filed under: uncultured bacterium
Lineage: Bacteria
Description: partial 16S ribosomal RNA
Rfam family: Bacterial small subunit ribosomal RNA
Source: RNAcentral
UACGGGGGGGGCAAGCGUUGUUCGGAAUUACUGGGCGUAAAGGGCUCGUAGGCGGCCAACUAAGUCAGACGUGAAAUCCCUCGGCUUAACCGGGGAACUGCGUCUGAUACUGGAUGGCUUGAAUCCGGGAGAGGGAUGCGGAAUUCCAGGUGUAGCGGUGAAAUGCGUAGAUAUCAGGAGGAACACCGGUGGCGAAGGCGGAUCUCUGGGCCUUACCUGACGCUCAGGCGCGAAAGCUAGGGGAGCGAACAGG